RNAcentral lists this ribosomal RNA (408 nucleotides) under uncultured bacterium. RNAcentral describes it as "partial 16S ribosomal RNA". It matches the Rfam family "Bacterial small subunit ribosomal RNA", at positions 28 to 526 of the family's 1533-position model. The record is from RNAcentral.
GACGAACGCUGGCGGCGUGCUUAACACAUGCAAGUCGAACGAAGUGGCGAACGGGUGAGUAAUACGUGGGUAACCUGCCCUCCUUUUUGGGAUAAGCCUUGGAAACGGGGUCUAAUACCGAAUAAAGGGGGAUGAGCUCGCGGCCUAUCAGCUUGUUGGUGGGGUGAUGGCCUACCAAGGCGGUGACGGGUAGCCGGCCUGAGAGGGUGACUGGCCAAAUUGGGACUGAGAUACGGCCCAUGAUCAUACGGGAGGCAGCAGUGGGGGGUAUGGCACGAUAGGCGAAAGCAUGAUGCAGCGACGGCUGGAGGGGGAUGAAGGUUUUGGGGUGGUAAAGCUGUUUCGCUAUCGAAAGGGUAGGUGGAGAAGAAGCGCCGGCUAACUACGUGCCAGCAGCCGCGGUAAUAC